AACUGGAUAGCCUAAUUGUCAAAGGCAGUGCUUCUAGCAAUGAUGAGGACCCAGGUUCAAAUCCUGGUCUAGUCA
Molecule: transfer RNA, 75 nt
Filed under: Cronartium comandrae C4
Lineage: Eukaryota; Fungi; Basidiomycota; Pucciniomycetes; Pucciniales; Coleosporiaceae
Description: tRNA-Ala (AGC) (tRNA-Ala-AGC-25-1)
Rfam family: tRNA
About the family: Transfer RNA (tRNA) molecules are approximately 80 nucleotides in length. Their secondary structure includes four short double-helical elements and three loops (D, anti-codon, and T loops).
Source: RNAcentral